RNAcentral lists this ribosomal RNA (460 nucleotides) under uncultured bacterium. RNAcentral describes it as "partial 16S ribosomal RNA". It matches the Rfam family "Bacterial small subunit ribosomal RNA", at positions 338 to 795 of the family's 1533-position model. The record is from RNAcentral.
CCUACGGGCGGCAGCAGUGAGGAAUAUUGGUCAAUGGGCGCGAGCCUGAACCAGCCAAGUAGCGUGAAGGAUGACUGCCCUACGGGUUGUAAACUUCUUUUAUAAAGGAAUAAAGUGAGGCACGUGUGCCUUUUUGUAUGUACUUUAUGAAUAAGGAUCGGCUAACUCCGUGCCAGCAGCCGCGGUAAUACGGAGGAUUCAAGCGUUAUCCGGAUUUAUUGGGUUUAAAGGGUGCGUAGGCGGUCGGAUAAGUUAGUGGUGAAAUUCCGAGGCUCAACUUCGGAAUUGCCUUUGAUACUGUUCGUCUUGAGAGUAGUUGCGGUAGGCGGAAUGUAUGGUGUAGCGGUGAAAUGCGUAGAGAUCAUACAGAACACCGAUUGCGAAGGCAGCUUACCAAGCUACUUCUGACGUUGAGGCACGAAAGCGUGGGUAGCAAACAGGAUUAGAUACCCGGGUAGUC